This is a non-coding RNA of Cinara cedri, 575 nucleotides long. NCBI's taxonomy places the organism in Eukaryota, Metazoa, Arthropoda, Insecta, Hemiptera, Aphididae. The record is from the annotation of a GenBank genome assembly.
UUAUAUGGGCAUACCGGCCACCGCGAGCUAUAAAAUCUGCAUGACUGUUAUUAUUUCGCAAAUUGUUUUUAGGUACCGGCGCAUACACUUAUAAUUUUAUAAGCGCGAGUCAGAAUGCGUAUAUCAUAUGAUUUGGCCCGAUUGCGCUUUUCAGUGUGUAUAUCAUUGUUUUUAAACGCACGACGGUGAUUAUAGACAACAUUAUUAUUCGUGAUCUAUUAUGAUAAUUUAUGCAUUUUUAAACGGUAUAAUCAAUCGCACGGACACUAUAAUAAUAUGUUAAUGUACGAUUAAAAUGUAUCGGAACAAUAAAUAAUAACAUAAUAGUAUACGUAUUUUGCGAAGUAAUCAGAUUACAGAUAUUGUAGCUGCCCCGUCCCUAGAAGCCAUGUACCAUUGUGCUAACAGAGCAGUUCUCGUUAAAAUAAAUGUAUGAAAUCGAGAAAAACUAUUGAACACAUGAUUAAAAUUAAAUUACUAAAACCGAAAUAUUGGAGAGACAAAGAUAGAAAGACGAAAAAAUGUUCAUAUAUAGUAAUAAUAUAACAACAAUAACAACGGUAUAUUGUAUCGAC